GAAAUCGCAUGGAAACAGUAGAGGGCAGCAAUACGCCUUGGAUGCGUCUAGUCUGCCAAAACCAAAGAAGAAGAAGAAGUAGCUGCCUCUUUCUCCUUUGUCUUUGCCUGGUGGCUGUCACAUGGUCAGACCUGAGUUUCCUUCCUGGUUGUGCACUUUUACCUGGUCAUCUUGGUGUCCAUUGAAUCUAGUGGUGUUAAGCGGGAUCAGCGGAAAGCUGGGUAAAUGUAGCUACCUGGGCAGGUAUGAGAAGCUGCAUAUUGUCAACAGGAAGUGUCUGAAAUUACAUCUUUUAUGACAGCGUAAUGAUUUUGGUUUUUUAUUUCAGACACGAUCAGCUGCUGUUUUGUCUUGUUUUGUCCUGAGUUUUGUCCUGAGUUUUGUCUUGUUUUGCCCACUGUUUAGCCUUUAGUUUUGUCCUUAGUUUUGCUGUAGUUUGCUUGUUCUGUUUUGGUAGCAUUUUAUCAAAUUGUCAUUAAAAUAGGCCUUUUUAGCUGGACCAACUGGUUUUAUAUAGGUUUUAACUAUUUCUUUUGUGUAACUUUUUCUUUCUUGUCCCUUACAGUGCAGUGGUUGCUGGCUAGCGGUGGAGGCUAGGCACUCUGGGUGGUUCCCUGCACCUUUUUGUUGUAGUGAUAGGCGCACUGGGACACAGUAGUCUGCACCUGUUUGCCGUGUUUUGCAGUGAGUUCACGUGUGGUGGGUAAGUGCACUCCUGGGACACUUCCUUUGGUAGACUGCCUCCCUCUUGCUAGCUCCCACUCACUCCCCCUUCCCUUUUUGUUGGUUUUAGCCACUUUACCUGGAAGUGUUUUAUUAAUUAAAGACCAAUUGUUAAAAAGAAUAAAUUGUAAUAAAAUUUUGAUACAUCCUUUCCAUAAAUUUGACUUAAAAUUCAUUGCCAAUUACUAACUCCUCUUUUCUUCCCACAGCCACUUCCAGUCACAUUAAUAUAUUUUUGCAUUUAAACUUAUAAAUAAAUUUUUGAGUUGCUUUUUGAA
This is a long non-coding RNA of Cheilinus undulatus (humphead wrasse), 1001 nucleotides long. RefSeq lists it as uncharacterized. Lineage: Eukaryota; Metazoa; Chordata; Actinopteri; Labriformes; Labridae. The record is from RefSeq and is a predicted model, not a curated record. The transcript is spliced from 2 exons.